Molecule: unclassified non-coding RNA, 463 nt
Filed under: Hevea brasiliensis (rubber tree)
Lineage: Eukaryota; Viridiplantae; Streptophyta; Magnoliopsida; Malpighiales; Euphorbiaceae
Source: RNAcentral
ACUCGCACUGCAAGAUUAUAGUCCAAACACACGUCAGAUAGGCAAAAUUUCACAAGUCAUAACAAUAGAAUUUGAAUGCACAAACCCAUCUGCCAAAUAACGCCAUUCUAGGCAGGCUCAUUUGAUUUUCAAAUAAUAUUAAAGGCAAAAAUGAAAAAUUUCAUGAUUUCAACCAUUAACAGCCCAAAAUGACACAGCACAUCAUUUGCGCCUCUUCUGUAAUUUGCAUGUAAAAGCAGGGAAAAUACACCAAAGCAUAACAGAGAUAUUUUCUUUGGAAAGACAUUAAGCAAAAUAAAACCUAAUAGCCAAAUCUUCCCUCUGUUUCCUAGACAUUUUUUCUUAAAAAAAGAAAAAAAACAAGGGAAAUAUAAUUUCAAUGUGUAAAAUUUCCCUUUGUAUUAGAUGCAUAAAUUAGAACAUGAAAGGGAAGAACAUAUACCAAAUCCAAAUUGCUGUUCAA